GUAAGGAAGGACCAAAAGCCACCAUUAAAUUAAUUCUCUCCCCAGCUCUCUAUGACACAGUACUUCAAUAAGAAGAAGAAGAACAGGAGGAACAAGAGAGAGUGGUUGCAUUUAUACAUAUAAGAGAAAUAGUCAUCAGUAGUCUCUCUUAUAAACUACCUAAAACAUGCUUGCCCUCCUGCUUAGCUUCAUUCUUUUUUGUCAAUCUUUCUGAAGAUGUGUUCUUCCUUCAAAGGGCCUGCUUGAUUUUCAACAAAACCCAAGCCUGACUCACCAUAUAUUUUCUUUUUUUCUUCUUGUUCGGUUACAUGUUGGUUUGAGAGAUUGAAGCUGCCAGCAUGAUCUGGUAAAAAAUUACCUGUCGCUCUAUGUGUAUAUAUAUAUAUUGAUAAACUGAUAGACUGAUUCUUAUUUUGUACAUAUUAUUUCCAGUUUUAGAUUCUUUAUUUUUAUUUUUGUUUUUGUUUUUGUUUACCCUUUUAGAUCCAUAAUGGAUUGAUUUUCAAAAGCAAUUUUUUUUUUUUGUUCUCUCUUGAAAUUGGGAAGAAAGAAAGAAUCAAUUUUAUUUUUAUGGUAAAUGUUUUGUUGUGAUAUAGUGACUGUAGACCUAGCAAAUUAAUUAGUUAUUAAGCCUCAUAGAUAACAGUUCCAUCAGGUCAUCUUGCAGCUUCAAUUACUCAUUCACCAACAAUAUUGGAAGAUAUAUAAUCUUUAAUAAGACUUAAUUUCUAAUUAAGUUCAGUACUGUGUCUCAACUAUACAAAGGCAACAGCUUCAACAUUCCAGGUUUCAUACUGUUUUCGAGGGUGUGAAAGCUGCAGGUAGAAGACACAGCAGGAACACAAUAACUUGUUUGUAGUUAAUUUCGUCAUUUGUGUCUUCACUCUUCGGCUUUCCAGCUUAACUUAUUGUAAUAACAUUAAUUCAUUGUUAGGUUUAUUUAAUUACAGAGUGAAGAUUUUUAUUAAAAGACUGAUAUAUUUAUAUAGUCAAUCUUAUAAUUCA
Pistacia vera is the source of this 1005-nucleotide long non-coding RNA. RefSeq lists it as uncharacterized. The transcript is spliced from 2 exons. Lineage: Eukaryota; Viridiplantae; Streptophyta; Magnoliopsida; Sapindales; Anacardiaceae. The record is from RefSeq and is a predicted model, not a curated record.